GACGAACGCUGGCGGCGUGCUUAACACAUGCAAGUCGAACGGAAAGGCCCUGCUUUUGUGGGGUGCUCGAGUGGCGAACGGGUGAGUAACACGUGAGUAACCUGCCCUUGACUUUGGGAUAACUUCAGGAAACUGGGGCUAAUACCGGAUAGGAUCUCCUGCUGCAUGGUGGGGGUUGGAAAGUUUCGGCGGUUGGGGAUGGACUCGCGGCUUAUCAGCUUGUUGGUGGGGUAGUGGCUUACCCAGGCUUUGACGGGUAGCCGGCCUGAGAGGGUGACCGGCCACAUUGGGACUGAGAUACGGCCCAGACUCCUACGGGAGGCAGCAGUGGGGAAUAUUGCACAAUGGGCGGAAGCCUGAUGCAGCAACGCCGCGUGCGGGAUGACGGCCUUCGGGUUGUAAACCGCUUUCGCCUGUGACGAAGCGUGAGUGACGGUAAUGGGUAAAGAAGCACCGGCUAACUACGUG
RNAcentral lists this ribosomal RNA (468 nucleotides) under uncultured bacterium. RNAcentral describes it as "partial 16S ribosomal RNA". It matches the Rfam family "Bacterial small subunit ribosomal RNA", at positions 28 to 507 of the family's 1533-position model. The record is from RNAcentral.